AAACAGAAGAACAAAGAAGACCAAGAACAUCGUGGCUUCUAGAAGUUUAUGCGAAUUCUAAAGUUACCAUUGCAAACAUCUUCUGACGGUGCAAGACUUUCAGAGGCGAACAAAAAUCGAAGAAGAAAUUCCCUUUUAAAUACGCAGAAGUUUUCGUACUUCACGCCUCUUUCUUCGGAAUCGUAAGCUUUCUCGGGAAAUUUCCGUAGAAAUCGAAUAAUAAUUUCUUUAAAAACUGCCGUCAAAAAUAAGACAGAAAUUCUUUGAAAAUCCAAAAAAAGUAGGUCGAAAAAAUAGGCUUCUAAGAGUGAAGCGAAAAUUCCUCCAAAAGCAAAGGAGAAAGUCCUUAAUAAAUGAAAGGCUUCC
RNAcentral lists this unclassified non-coding RNA (366 nucleotides) under Bombus terrestris (buff-tailed bumblebee). RNAcentral describes it as "misc RNA ENSBTSG00005031546.1". Lineage: Eukaryota; Metazoa; Arthropoda; Insecta; Hymenoptera; Apidae. The record is from RNAcentral.